AUGGCUCUCUUCAGGGACGGAGAAAACCAUCCCCACUACCAUGGAUGGGGGAAGUCAGGAAGCCUUCACUGCAGCCCAUGCCCAAUGGCUUGCUGUCAAGAUCAACAAGUUCUGGGGUACGUAUUCAGUUCCCUCUCCAAGGAAGUGUUGACUCAGGUCGCCUUACUUUGGGCAGCCGUCGAGCAGAUGUUUUCUUCUCAGUCUCGUGCUGACACCAUCAAUAUCAGGAUGGCUAUGUCCAACAUAAACAAAAGGAAUAUGUCUGUUGCAGAUUAUUUCUCCAAGAAGAAGGUCCUUGUGGAUGACAUGCAUCUGUCGCAUAGUUUUAAAUAG
This 333-nucleotide ribosomal RNA is filed under the name Triticum aestivum (bread wheat). Its description in RNAcentral is "partial small subunit ribosomal RNA". Lineage: Eukaryota; Viridiplantae; Streptophyta; Magnoliopsida; Poales; Poaceae. The record is from RNAcentral.